GAGCGCACCAGUAGGAGUUGAGAGUGUGCCGAAGGAGUACGGCAAGAUGUGGGAAAGUUUGAGGCCAGCUUCACCCCUCCAAACCUGCCUCUUGUUCAAGCUGAUAAGGGCAGCUGUCAGACUACACUGGUAUCACCAUGGCGAUUUGGACUAUUUCUCUGCUUCUCUGUGCUGCCUUUGCUCUCGGCCACACAGGUACCUUUGAGGAUACAACCAUCUUUGAGGAGGCUCCGCUCCCAGAAACCUUUGAAGAGACAACUUUUGAAGGAGUUGUUCCUUUCAUAGAAACCUUUAAAGAGACAACCUUUGAGCAGGAUGCUCCUCUUGGUAAGAAUUUUAUUUGGAGUAGGAUUUUAGUUGCAAAUACUAUGAAAAACUUUUUUAACCCUGUACCAAACUAGUUGAUGCUGCAGAGACCAUCGAGGAGGAAGAUGAGACACAGACCUUUGCCACAAAACAGUGCUGGCGUGGAUGGGACAAACAUGACUCCCACUG
Long non-coding RNA from Esox lucius (northern pike), 495 nucleotides. NCBI's taxonomy places the organism in Eukaryota, Metazoa, Chordata, Actinopteri, Esociformes, Esocidae. The record is from Ensembl.